This 479-nucleotide ribosomal RNA is filed under the name uncultured bacterium. RNAcentral describes it as "SSU rRNA". It matches the Rfam family "Bacterial small subunit ribosomal RNA", at positions 26 to 518 of the family's 1533-position model. The record is from RNAcentral.
AGGACGAACGCUAGCGGCGUGUUUGAAACAUGCAAGUCGAACGGAAGAGGCAGCAAUGCCUUGAGAGUGGCGAACGGGUGCGUAACACGUAAAGAACCUAUCCUUUAGCGGGGGAUAGCCCUUAGAAAUGAGGGGUAAUACCGCAUAAGGUAUAAACCACGCAUGUGGAUUAUAGGAAAGGGUUAUGUAAAUAACUCACUAGAGGAGGGCUUUGCGGCCUAUCAGGUAGUUGGUGGGUAAAGGCCUACCAAGCCAAAGACGGGUAGCUGGUCUGAGAGGAUGGUCAGCCACACUGGGACUGAGAUACGGCCCAGACUCCUACGGGGGCAGCAGUUUAGAAUAUUGUGCAAUGGGCGAAAGCCUGACACAGCGACGCCGCGUGGGUGAUGAAGGCCUUAGGGUCGUAAAGCCCUGUUGGUAGGGAUGAGUAAGGACAGUACCUACCGAGGAAGCCCGGCUAACUACGUGCCAGCAGCCGC